CGUAGGCAGCAAGCGUUGUUCGGAGUUACUGGGCGUAAAGGGUGUGUAGGCGGUUGUUUAAGUUUGGUGUGAAAUCUCCCGGCUCAACUGGGAGGGUGCGCCGAAUACUGAAUGACUCGAGUGCGGGAGAGGAAAGUGGAAUUCCUGGUGUAGCGGUGAAAUGCGUAGAUAUCAGGAGGAACACCGGUGGUGUAGACGGCUUUCUGGACCGUAACUGACGCUGAGACACGAAAGCGUGGGUAGCAAACAGGAUUAGAUACCCUGGUAGUCCACGCCCUAAACGAUGCAUAUUUGGUGUGGGCAGUUCAUUCUGUCCGUGCCGGAGCUAACGCGUUAAAUAUGCCGCCUGGGGAGUACAGUCGCAAGGCUG
This 370-nucleotide ribosomal RNA is filed under the name uncultured organism. RNAcentral describes it as "bacterial SSU rRNA". It matches the Rfam family "Bacterial small subunit ribosomal RNA", at positions 526 to 896 of the family's 1533-position model. The record is from RNAcentral.